UUCCAUCGCGACCCCAGGUCAGGCGGGACUACCCGCUGAG
This 40-nucleotide ribosomal RNA is filed under the name Parrotia persica. Its description in RNAcentral is "partial 26S ribosomal RNA". Lineage: Eukaryota; Viridiplantae; Streptophyta; Magnoliopsida; Saxifragales; Hamamelidaceae. The record is from RNAcentral.